RNAcentral lists this ribosomal RNA (397 nucleotides) under uncultured bacterium. Its description in RNAcentral is "bacterial SSU rRNA". It matches the Rfam family "Bacterial small subunit ribosomal RNA", at positions 330 to 726 of the family's 1533-position model. The record is from RNAcentral.
CCCAGACUCCUACGGGAGGCAGCAGUGAGGAAUAUUGGUCAAUGGGCGAGAGCCUGAACCAGCCAAGUCGCGUGAGGGAGUACUGCCCUAUGGGUUGUAAACCUCUUUUGUCGGGGAGCAAAAGCCGGACGUGUCCGUCUGUGAGAGUACCCGAAGAAAAAGCAUCGGCUAACUCCGUGCCAGCAGCCGCGGUAAUACGGAGGAUGCGAGCGUUAUCCGGAUUUAUUGGGUUUAAAGGGUGCGCAGGCGGAUUUUUAAGUCAGCGGUCAAAUCGUGGGGCUCAACCCCAUCCAGCCGUUGAAACUGGGGAUCUAGAGUGUGCGAGAGGUAUGCGGAAUGCGUGGUGUAGCGGUGAAAUGCAUAGAUAUCACGCAGAACCCCGAUUGCGAAGGCAGCA